AUUGAACGCUGGCGGCAUGCCUUACACAUGCAAGUCGAACGGUAACAGGUCUUCGGAUGCUGACGAGUGGCGAACGGGUGAGUAAUACAUCGGAACGUGCCUAGUAGUGGGGGAUAACUACUCGAAAGAGUGGCUAAUACCGCAUGAGAUCUACGGAUGAAAGCAGGGGAUCGCAAGACCUUGUGCUACUAGCGCAGCCGACGGCAGAUUAGGUAGUUGGUGGGAUAAAAGCUUACCAAGCCGACGAUCUGUAGCUGGUCUGAGAGGACGAUCAGCCACACUGGGACUGAGACACAGCUAAGACUCCUACGGGAGGCAGCAGUGGGGAAUUGUGGAGAAUGGGCGAAAGCCUGAUCCAGCAAUGCCGCGUGCAGGAUGAAGGCCUUCGGGUUGUAAACUGCUUUUGUACGGAACGAAAAGCCCCGGGUUAAUACCCUAGGGUCAUGACGGUACCGAAAGAAUAAGCACCGGCUAACUACGUGCCAGCCGCCGCAGUAA
RNAcentral lists this ribosomal RNA (498 nucleotides) under uncultured bacterium. RNAcentral's name for it is "partial 16S ribosomal RNA". It matches the Rfam family "Bacterial small subunit ribosomal RNA", at positions 30 to 523 of the family's 1533-position model. The record is from RNAcentral.